CGCCACAGCCAUAUCACCCUGCACCCUGGUUACUCACUGAAGCUAAGCAGGGCUGAACCUGGUCAGUACCUGGAUGGGUAACCACAUGGUAAAACUAGGUUGCUGUUGGAA
RNAcentral lists this ribosomal RNA (111 nucleotides) under Danio rerio (zebrafish). The record is from RNAcentral. Lineage: Eukaryota; Metazoa; Chordata; Actinopteri; Cypriniformes; Danionidae.